This 253-nucleotide ribosomal RNA is filed under the name uncultured bacterium. RNAcentral describes it as "partial 16S ribosomal RNA". It matches the Rfam family "Bacterial small subunit ribosomal RNA", at positions 524 to 776 of the family's 1533-position model. The record is from RNAcentral.
UACAGAGGUCCCAAGCGUUGUUCGGAUUCACUGGGCGUAAAGCGUGUGCAGGCGGGGAACCAAGUGGUGUAUGAAAUUUCCCGGCUUAACCGGGAAGGGUUAUGCCAGACUGGUUUUCUGGAGUGCGAGAGAGGGGCGUGGAAUUCCGGGUGUAGUGGUGAAAUGCGUAGAGAUCCGGAGGAACCCCAGAGGCGAAGGCGGCGCCCUGGCUCGCAACUGACGCUCAGACACGACAGCAUGGGGAGCGAACGGG